Molecule: long non-coding RNA, 1076 nt
Filed under: Cyanistes caeruleus (blue tit)
Lineage: Eukaryota; Metazoa; Chordata; Aves; Passeriformes; Paridae
Description: lncRNA (ENSCCEG00000006903.1)
Source: RNAcentral
UUCCACCACAAUCCUUACCUGCUUGCAGCAAUCCACAUUUAAGGGUUCAAACCCUCUGCUUCCUUUUGCACUCUCUUUGAGAGAAUUCACAAGGAUUAACCAGAGACAAAUGUCCACACACAUAAAGGUUCCCAGGAACCUUGUCUAACAUCCUGCAGCACAUCAGCAAUGGAAACGGGAGCAGCACACGGUGUCUCUGGCCCCUGUUCAGAUGUCUACUGCAGUUCAAGUAAAUGCACCACUUCAUCUGACCCUGCAGAUCAUAAGCUGAUCAAUCUUGAUGCUGUAGACUCUGCUGAGACCAUAAGUGAGUUUCCAGAGGAGCUGAAAUAAUCCUCAUCAGGUAUUUCAGUCCAAAAUAUGGUGAAAAAAUGAAUUAUAACGAAGAGAACCAGGAGACAGACAGAGCUCAGCUGAUGCCAGGCACUUCAAUACAGUGAUAAACAAUACACUGUGGAUUUCUAAAUCUAAUUGACAGACUUCCUAGGAAAGGAAAGUAUCAAGGAAUUGGUAUCCAGAGUCUUAAAAUAACAUUCUUUUCUCUGUCAUAGCUGAGCUCUGUGAGAGUCUACUUGCUACUGGACUUACUGUGAGCAGACUUCUGCACUAAAACUCCUGCUACUUCAAGGUAGAUUAAUUUACUGCAAGGGUCAUACAUAGGAUUGGCUGUGUGACCACCCUCCUGUUCAAUUGGUUCCAUACAGGUGAUUCUAGUGCAAAUGAUAGAAAUUUAAGUUCCCACAACAAGCCAAUUAACACAGCUGCAGUGCAAUCACCAGGGCCUGACCCUCCAGAGUGCUGCUCUUUGCAGCAUCCAUGUCUCAGAGUCAAUUCCCCAAACCAAAUUCUAAUGGCAAACUCUUAUGACAUUGCAUUUGGGGUUAAUGACUCCAAAAACAAGGCUAAUUGUUCUCACCAGAAGAUCUCCUGGUAAAAAAAAGAAAAAACAUGUACCUCCACAUGUGGUAUCUCUGGCACCAAGUGACCUGUGGUGUCCUUGGACAUGUUUUUGGGAAGGUCAGUGUCUUCUUUUCUGAGCUUUCCUCUUUCAUUCAUCCUGCUGGCCUAAAUUUGGU